RNAcentral lists this ribosomal RNA (1039 nucleotides) under bacterium. RNAcentral describes it as "partial 23S ribosomal RNA". It matches the Rfam family "Bacterial large subunit ribosomal RNA", at positions 1428 to 2462 of the family's 2925-position model. The record is from RNAcentral.
GGUUAAGAUUCCCGUACCACCGGCGAUUGUUUGAGGGACGGAGUGACACAGGAGGAUAGGCCAUCACGCGAUUGGUCGUGCGUGUCUAAGCGGUUAGGGAGUAUCGGGAGGCAAAUCCCCUGGUACAAUCCGGAGCCGUGACGGGGAGCGAAAUUAGAGUAGCGAACUGGUUGAUUCCACACUGUCAAGAAAAGCUUCUACUGAGAGAACCGGUGCCUGUACCGCAAACCGACACAGGUAGGCAGGUAGAGAAUACUAAGGUGAGCGAGAUAACUAUUGUUAAGGAACUCGGCAAAAUAACCCCGUAACUUCGGGAGAAGGGGUGCCCCCCCGGGUGUCACAGCCUGAGGGGGUCGCAGAAAACAGGCCCAAGCGACUGUUUAACAAAAACACAGGUCUCUGCUAAAUCGAAAGAUGACGUAUAGGGGCUGACGCCUGCCCGGUGCUGGAAGGUUAAGGGGAAGUGUUAGGGAAACCGAAGCUCAGAACCGAAGCCCCAGUAAACGGCGGCCGUAACUAUAACGGUCCUAAGGUAGCGAAAUUCCUUGUCGGGUAAGUUCCGACCCGCACGAAAGGCGUAACGAUUUGGGCACUGUCUCAACAAUAGGCUCGGUGAAAUUGUAGUACCGGUAAAGAUGCCGGUUACCCGCAGCUAGACGGAAAGACCCCGUGGAGCUUUACUGUAGCCUGGCACUGGACUUUGAUAUAGCAUGUACAGGAUAGGUGGGAGACUGAGAAGUGUGUACGCCAGUAUGCAUGGAGUCGCCCUUGGGAUACCACUCUUGCUAUAUCAGCGUUCUAACCAGUUGCCGUGAUCCGGCAAUGGGACAAUGUCAGGUGGGCAGUUUGACUGGGGCGGUCGCCUCCGAAAGAGUAACGGAGGCGCUCAAAGGUUCCCUCAGCGCGGUUGGAAAUCGCGCGCAGAGUGUAAAGGCACAAGGGAGCUUGACUGCGAGACAGACACGUCGAGCAGGUACGAAAGUAGGUCUUAGUGAUCCGGUGGUUCCGCAUGGAAGGGCCAUCGCUCAACGGAUAAAAG